GUCUACUGCCGCGUCCCGCCAAGGACCUGGACCUGCUCAGUGCCAAGCUGGAGACGCGAGACCUGUGCUUCCUGGGCCCCCUCUUGGAUUCCAGGGCUGCAGCAGACUCACAGGGGCCAGGGAGCGAAAGGACCCCGGGGGCGGCCAGGCCGGCUCAGGCUGGAGGCGGGGAGCUGCCCGCUCGGGGCAGGAGGGCCUCCUACAAGUGCAGGGUGUGCUUCCAGCGCCUCUGCAGCCUGGGCGAGCUGGACGUGCACAAGCUGGCGCACAGCCCCUCGCCGCCCCC
RNAcentral lists this long non-coding RNA (286 nucleotides) under Marmota monax (woodchuck). Lineage: Eukaryota; Metazoa; Chordata; Mammalia; Rodentia; Sciuridae. The record is from RNAcentral.